UGGAACGAACAGAAAAAAAAUGAGAUUU
Molecule: non-coding RNA, 28 nt
Filed under: Mus musculus (house mouse)
Lineage: Eukaryota; Metazoa; Chordata; Mammalia; Rodentia; Muridae
Source: RNAcentral